RNAcentral lists this ribosomal RNA (427 nucleotides) under uncultured Gammaproteobacteria bacterium. Its description in RNAcentral is "bacterial SSU rRNA". It matches the Rfam family "Bacterial small subunit ribosomal RNA", at positions 958 to 1385 of the family's 1533-position model. The record is from RNAcentral. Lineage: Bacteria; Pseudomonadati; Pseudomonadota; Gammaproteobacteria.
AACGCGAAGAACCUUACCUGGCCUUGACAUCUACGGAACCUUGCAGAGAUGCAGGGGUGCCUUCGGGAACCGUAAGACAGGUGCUGCAUGGCUGUCGUCAGCUCGUGUCGUGAGAUGUUGGGUUAAGUCCCGCAACGAGCGCAACCCUUGUCCUUAGUUGCCAUCAUUCAGUUGGGAACUCUAAGGAGACCGCCGGUGACAAACCGGAGGAAGGUGGGGAUGACGUCAAGUCAUCAUGGCCUUUAUGGCCAGGGCUACACACGUGCUACAAUGGCAGGUACAGAGGGAAGCCAACUCGCGAGAGGGAGCCAAUCCCAGAAAGCCUGUCGUAGUCCGGAUCGGAGUCUGCAACUCGACUCCGUGAAGUCGGAAUCGCUAGUAAUCGCAGAUCAGCAUUGCUGCGGUGAAUACGUUCCCGGGCCUUGUA